RNAcentral lists this small nucleolar RNA (157 nucleotides) under Tolypocladium ophioglossoides CBS 100239. RNAcentral describes it as "Small nucleolar RNA snR80". It matches the Rfam family "Small nucleolar RNA snR80". Lineage: Eukaryota; Fungi; Ascomycota; Sordariomycetes; Hypocreales; Ophiocordycipitaceae. The record is from Rfam by way of RNAcentral.
GCACCCUUGGCUACACUCUGAAAUCUACCAAUCUUCACGGUGGUUUAUUUCUAUUUUUGCUCAAGGAAGAAAAAGUAGAUCAGCUGGCCAGAUACUCACCGCGACACUCUGGCAGUCUUGCUCUGUGGGUGUAGAGGUCCAUUUACCUGGCCAACAU